UCCCUUUCGCUCUCCCUCCCUUCAGCAGGGUAAAGACUGAAAAAUAAAACCCUGCCACCUGUAGAAGUUUGUUGGGGUGAAGAGACCCCCAUGCGGCUCACAGAGGAGCUUGUGGAUGCACCAGAGAUUUGUGACUUUAACAGAGAGAAAGCCUUAUACUGGAGUAAAAGCGGCUCAGAUGAGGCAGAGUCCUGUUAAAGACUUUGUGACCCUCGAAGGGAUCGAUGCUUAUGCUGGAGCGAGACGGCUCAGAUACGCUUGGGAUCUCAGUGAGAGAUCCAUGCUGCUGCUGUUGAAGAUUUAUGACCCUGACGGGUAUUAGAACCUACGCUGGAACACAAAACGGUUCAGGUAGGGAUGUUGGGAUCCAUGUGUGGGAUCCGUGCUGCUGGUGCUAGAGAGAACCUACGCUGGAGCAGAAAAUGGCUCAGGUGGGAUAUUGGGAUCCGAGUAAGGGAUCCAGACUGGACCCAUGCCGAGAAGUCAAUCAAGGACUGUUCUCCCAUGGGGAGGGACCUCCAUAGGGAAACAGGGGUGAACUCUUAAACCAUUAUCCCCUGUAACCCUGUGGAAGAAGAUCCAUAGUAAGCAAGUGUCCCCUUGCAAGCCUAUGGAAGGAGACCCUUCAGGACCUGGGUAACCCUCAACCUUCGGUUUUAACCCAGGAGGGGGGUAGGCCCAGCCCUGGAGGCCAACACAGAAUAAGAGAGAGAUAAAGAAGUUCCAACUGCGACGAAAGUGCUGCAGAGUUACUGGAGAGAGAGAGAGCUGGAAUUCUGAGAACAGAAAAAGACUGCUUCUCCUCCUUGGACUGAUAUAAAGGGAAGUGGGGGGAGAAGCAUCUUCUGUAAAUACAUAAUACCUUUUACUUAAGUAGAAUUGUUGUAAAUAUAAUUCUUUAGUGUUAGCUUGUUAAUAAUAAAUACUCAUACUUUUUUUUAA
Long non-coding RNA from Myiozetetes cayanensis, 942 nucleotides. RefSeq lists it as uncharacterized. The transcript is spliced from 2 exons. The record is from RefSeq and is a predicted model, not a curated record. Lineage: Eukaryota; Metazoa; Chordata; Aves; Passeriformes; Tyrannidae.